GGGUCAGUAGGUUGGUCGUGCCACCGGUACGUACUGGUCUCACUGAUUCCUCCUCCCUGAAGAACCGUAAUGCCAUUAAUUUGGUGUUGCGGGGAAACAGGACUGUUACUUUGAAAAAAUUAGAGUGUUUAAAGCAAGCUAACGCUUGAAUGCAUUAGCAUGGAAUAAUGAAAUAGGACGAUCGAUCCUAUUUUGUUGGUUUCUAGGAUUGACGU
Molecule: ribosomal RNA, 215 nt
Filed under: Glomeromycotina sp.
Lineage: Eukaryota; Fungi; Glomeromycota
Description: partial small subunit ribosomal RNA
Rfam family: Eukaryotic small subunit ribosomal RNA (bases 75-215)
Source: RNAcentral